UACGGGGGGGGCAAGCGUUGUUCGGAAUUACUGGGCGUAAAGGGCUCGUAGGUGGCCAACUAAGUCAGACGUGAAAUCCCUCGGCUUAACCGGGGGACUGCGUCUGAUACUGGAUGGCUGGAGUAUGGGAGAGGAAUGCGGAAUUCCAGGUGUAGCGGUGAAAUGCGUAGAUAUCUGGAGGAACACCGGUGGCGAAGGCGGCAUUCUGGACCAUUACUGACGCUGAGGAGCGAAAGCCAGGGGAGCAAACGGG
This 253-nucleotide ribosomal RNA is filed under the name uncultured bacterium. Its description in RNAcentral is "partial 16S ribosomal RNA". It matches the Rfam family "Bacterial small subunit ribosomal RNA", at positions 524 to 776 of the family's 1533-position model. The record is from RNAcentral.